GCACUUUUGUUCUUCAUAUUUUCUUUUGCCAUGGACCUUAUAUUCUUUGAAUGUAUAAUUACAGCAAAACCGUUUUCACAUCUUGAGGCUGCUCAAAGUGAAACAUGAGUCUGGCAUGUCUGGUGUGCCAUAGUGUUGAAAGCCCAUCACAGUCCUUCAGAAGUUACUCUGUAUCGAGUUCAGACAAUGACGGAAGAUGUUCAGCGAUUGCCAAUUGUUUGAUCAAGAAAAUAUCGCUUGGCCACCCAGCUGCAAAUGGUGGCAUCACAACCUCUAAAGUGACCCCUCAGCCUACUGAUACGAAUAAUGGCAUAACAGGCCCCCCACGGCUUGUCAGAAGCCGUGCUGUGAGGAGGGAUAUAGUCAGAGACUGGAACUUUGACGAGGUUGUGUUGGAG
RNAcentral lists this unclassified non-coding RNA (398 nucleotides) under Hevea brasiliensis (rubber tree). The record is from RNAcentral. Lineage: Eukaryota; Viridiplantae; Streptophyta; Magnoliopsida; Malpighiales; Euphorbiaceae.